UGAUGGUGAUAUUGUUGAUUGC
This 22-nucleotide non-coding RNA is filed under the name Arabidopsis thaliana (thale cress). The record is from RNAcentral. Lineage: Eukaryota; Viridiplantae; Streptophyta; Magnoliopsida; Brassicales; Brassicaceae.